GAUGAACGCUAGCUACAGGCUUAACACAUGCAAGUCGAACGGAGGGGCGAACGGGGGAGUAAUGUAUCGGAACGUGCCCAGGAGCGGGGGAGAACUACGCGAAAGCGUAGCUAAUACCGCAUACUAUUGGAGCGGCCGAUAUCGGAUUAGCUAGUUGGUGGGGGAACGGCGCACCAAGGCGACGAUCCGUAGCUGGUUUGAGAGGACGACCAGCCACACUGGGACUGAGACACGGCCCAGACUCCUACGGUAUGCAGCAGUGGGGAAUUUUGGACAAUGGGGGAAACCCUGAUCCAGCCAUCCCGCGUGUGCGAUGAAGGCCUUCGGGUUGUAAAGCACUUUUGGCAGGAAAGCGGUACCUGCAGAAUAAGCACCGGCUAACUACGUGCCAGCAGCCGCGGUAAUAC
This 407-nucleotide ribosomal RNA is filed under the name uncultured bacterium. RNAcentral's name for it is "partial 16S ribosomal RNA". It matches the Rfam family "Bacterial small subunit ribosomal RNA", at positions 28 to 526 of the family's 1533-position model. The record is from RNAcentral.